AUCCUCCGUGUGGAGGAAACGACCAGCCGCCGUGCGCGGUGACGUCCCCGCUGACGCCCGGCCCCUGGAGCACGCAGCUCGCUGGCUGCUCACGGCUCAUCGUCACGGCCUAUUUAUGGAUCCGCCGCCUGCCACCGGCCGCCGGCAGAACUCCCGCGACUAUCAGGAUCGGCGGCUAUACACCGUGAACUGCGCCACUAGACUAGGAAGAAAAUGGGGUGGAAGGGCGUCCUGGGGUUCGACUACGGCGUCGUGCAGGCACCGCUCGGCCCCGACAUCUCCGGCCCGGAGCUCGCCGCCGCCGUCGCCAACGCUGGCGCCAUAGGCCUCCUCCGCCUUCCUGACUGGCCGGCGCCGGACCACGUGAGGGGGUUGAUACAGAGGACCAGGAGCCUGACCGAGAAGCCGUUCGGGGCGGCCAUCGUGCUGGCCUUCCCGCACGAGGAGAAUCUGAGGGUCGUGCUGGAGGAGAAGCUCGCCGUGCUGCAGGUGUACUGGGGCGAGUUCCCCAAGGAGCGGGUCGACGAGGCCCAUCGUGCCGGCGUCAAGGUCUUGCAUCAGGUUGGUAACCUUGAGGAGGCAGCAAAAGCUAAGGAAGCUGGUGUAGAUGGAAUUAUCGUUCAAGGCCGCGAAGCAGGGGGGCAUGUGAUUGGUCAAGAGGGUCUGCUACCGUUGCUGCCGAGAGUAGUGGAUCUAGUUUCAGAUAGUACUGUUUCGGUUAUCGCCGCUGGUGGAAUCGUAGAUGGCCGUGGCUAUGCUGCUGCAUUGGCACUUGGUGCUCAUGGUGUUUGCUUAGGAACUAGGUUUGUAGCCACCGAGGAAAGCUUUGCGCAUCCGCUGUAUAAGAAAAAGCUAAUUGAGAUGAAUUGCACGGACUAUACAGCUGUGUUCGGGCGUGCUAGAUGGCCUGGUGCUCCACAACGUGUCCUGAAGACACCUUUCUAUGUUGAGUGGAAGAAUCUUCCAGAUCAUGAAACAGAGGAAAAUCAGCCUAUUAUAGGUCAUUCUAUCAUCCAUGGUGUGGGCAAGAUACAAGAAUGUUGGGAACAGCUACACCACCCAACACAACUCCAAGCCAUCUACAGGAAGGAAGAGAGAGCGCCGCUUGAAGUCGCCGGGUGCCUCAACCGUGAACGCAACAUAGCGAAGAGUCGGAGCUGUGCACGACGAACCGAUUACUCCAAGGCGGAGCCUUCAACAAGGUCAUGGCACCUAAGUACCACCACCGCCUGAUCCAGGGAUCGAGGUUUCCCUCGGAGCAACACGGAGGAGGAAGAGGAACCACGGCGACGCCUUCAAGAAGGAUACGACGCCCGUAGGCGCCGCCGCGCCGACCUGGCAAAGCCAGAAAGAGUUUUCACCCGGCAAGCCCUCUUUGCCUCCGAGACAGAGUGCCGCAAGCACGCUGCAGAACCACCGCCACCGACCGUCAUGCCCAAGCUACCACGCCGCCCGCACGACCAUGGUAACCGGCCAACAUCCGAGCCGCGAGCUCCGCCCACGAGCAUCGCGCCUCCCACCACCGAGGCCGCCGCCCGGCAUCCGAGACCACCCCUCGACCGCCGCCGCCGCACACCGACAUCGUCAACAGGUGAAGGGGCAGCAAAGACCCCCUCUUUCCGCCCCAAACAAGUUCCUAUGGCAGGAGCGGCCGGCAGCCAGAUCUGGGCAGGGAAAACGCCGGCGGUCAGCCGUGCUGCAGCCACCCGAGACACCCGAUCUGGCACCUCCAAAUCGCGGCGACGGCGAGUCCGGGAGGCACCCCUGCCUCCCCCUCACGGCGCCCUUGCCAUUCACCAGCCAGCCAAGCCACACCAGAGCACAAGAGGAGCCGCCACCAGCAGCCGAUUCAUGCGCCACGACGGCCAUAGAGGAGGGGGUCGAGCAUACUGCUGCCGCGCCGCCAUCUCCGCCAGCCCGCGCCGGAGAAGAGGCAGCCACCCACGACCUGUGCCGACCGCAGCCCUUGCCGCCGGAGGAGAAGACGACCGGCCGCCGCCGUCGCCCCAGGCACACACCGCCACCGCGCCGCCCGUCACGCCGUCGCUGCAGACGAACCGCCGUGCCGCCCGGCGUCAGCACCACGCCCCGGCCCGGGGUGUUGACCCGCGCCAACCCCACCACGCGGGAGGACGAGGAUGCCCCGCCGCCGACCGGCCUUUGCCCAGCCGGGCCCCCUGGCGGCGGCGAGGGAGGAGGGAGGAGGGGAGGGGAGACCGGCGGAGGCGGCGGAAACCAUAUUUGCACAAGGAUAUAUGCCGGUUUGCUGGUACUGUUCCUAAUGCGACAACAACAGGCGAUAUCGAUAGCAUGGCCAUGUAUGCUGGCCAGAGUGUUGGGCUAAUCACCGAGAUUGUACCAGCAAGGGAAGUUGUC
Molecule: RNA transcript, 2376 nt
Organism: Triticum dicoccoides
Lineage: Eukaryota; Viridiplantae; Streptophyta; Magnoliopsida; Poales; Poaceae
Gene name: NADH:quinone reductase-like
Exons: 7
Source: RefSeq, a predicted model, not a curated record